Molecule: RNase P RNA, 365 nt
Filed under: marine eukaryotic metagenome
Description: Bacterial RNase P class A
Rfam family: Bacterial RNase P class A
About the family: Ribonuclease P (RNase P) is a ubiquitous endoribonuclease, found in archaea, bacteria and eukarya as well as chloroplasts and mitochondria. Its best characterised activity is the generation of mature 5'-ends of tRNAs by cleaving the 5'-leader elements of precursor-tRNAs.
Source: RNAcentral
GGGGUUUGGGUGGUCGCCGGUCUCGUCUGAGACGGGAGGAAAGUCCGGGCUCCACAGGGCAAGGGUGCCGGUUAACGACCGGUCAGGGCAACCUGAAGGAAAGUGCCACAGAAAAUAUACCGCCGAAUUUGCUCGCAAAAUCGGUAAGGGUGAAAUGGUGCGGUAAGAGCGCACCGCGUCUUUGGAGACAAGGAUGGCAGGGCAAACCCCACCUGGUGCAAGGCCGAGAAAGUUCCAUGAAACGGCCCGUUGGGAGCUUUCGCUAUCGCGCCGCUAGAGGGUGUUGGCAACAGCAUCCGUAGAUGAAUGGCCAUCUCAUGGAUGAGGGCGACCUCGCCAUGAACAGAACCCGGCUUAUAAACUCC